AUAUCGUUAAAUGGUGCCUCACUAACAUUUGUAACUGUAAACCAAUAUUUAAUAUACAUUUUUACAAUAAAUGCACUAAUUCGCACUAUAGCAUUUUCUUCGGUUUUCGUUAUUUUUAAUUCAGUUCGUAGUAAAAAUAUUUUCAGACAGUAAAUACAUUUUGCCAUCCACCUUGCCUGAUGACAUGCGCCCGGUUGACGAAUUGUCGUGCCACCAGGUGGAGUUUCUCCAAGUAUAAUAAUGACUAGUUCAAUUAAUUCUUUGUAAUCAUCUCUAGGAUGGUCUUCAGUAAUUUUUUUUAAACAAAAUGAAACAAUUUCUUAACGUAUUGGGGAAAUUAUUUUUUCAAAAUUUUUAUUUGUAUUCCAAACUAAUAUUUUUGUUUUAUCAAUUUCUUUCCAUGCACUUUGAAAGCGUUUAAAGAUAGGUAUAAUUGGUCCAGGUGAUACGUAUAAUUUCGCCUCGUUAAAUGCAGCCAAAACAUGAUGCCUACAAGCAAAAUAAAUAAUGUCUCUGUUCAAUUUCUACUCCAAAAGUGUAGAUGCCCCAUUUAGUCUGCCGGUAUUUGAUGCAGUCGUAUCAAAUACAAAACCUUGUACUUUAUCAAGUAAAGACCAUUUUUCUAAAGA
Cinara cedri is the source of this 629-nucleotide non-coding RNA. The record is from the annotation of a GenBank genome assembly. Lineage: Eukaryota; Metazoa; Arthropoda; Insecta; Hemiptera; Aphididae.